Molecule: long non-coding RNA, 458 nt
Organism: Ruditapes philippinarum (Manila clam)
Lineage: Eukaryota; Metazoa; Mollusca; Bivalvia; Venerida; Veneridae
Exons: 4
Source: RefSeq, a predicted model, not a curated record
UUGGAAAGGAACGAGAUUACUACUAAGAAUCCAUCUUUAUAAUGAGGGCUUGGACUACAUGUUUAAUCUGAGAACAAUGUCCUGUAAUGUUACAAGAUUGACCCGCCCAUUCCGCGUUGUUGGUGUACCACUAGACUCGAAGUUCUUGUUUGAAGGAGAGUACGGUGCAGCUGGUAUCCCCGCAGGAACAUUUUGACGCAGCGACUUUUGGCGGAAAAUUUGAAGAUGGGGCGGAAUACCUGGUCACAGUGGCAGAACCAGAUUGCAUCCCCAUUCAAUUUGAUGUCCGUAGCAAUACUACCACAGAACAUUUCCAUGAAGCGUAUUACGACUUGAAAUUGGGAAAUACCAGACCCAAACUGUGUUCAUACCACCAAAGGAAUGCAUGAUGGUACCAAUUCCACCAAAGUAAAAAACAAACAAAAAUCAUAAAAGUAUGAGGCAUUUGACUUUCACCA